RNAcentral lists this transfer RNA (72 nucleotides) under Bos taurus (domestic cattle). It matches the Rfam family "tRNA". From Rfam's summary of the family: Transfer RNA (tRNA) molecules are approximately 80 nucleotides in length. Their secondary structure includes four short double-helical elements and three loops (D, anti-codon, and T loops). Lineage: Eukaryota; Metazoa; Chordata; Mammalia; Artiodactyla; Bovidae. RNAcentral also lists the same sequence under 2 other names. The record is from Rfam by way of RNAcentral.
UCCCUGAUGGUCCAGUGGUUAAGACUCUGCACUUCCACUGCAGAAGCACAGGUUCAAUCCCUGGUCGGGGGA